This is a long non-coding RNA of Armigeres subalbatus, 1015 nucleotides long. RefSeq lists it as uncharacterized. The transcript is spliced from 4 exons. Lineage: Eukaryota; Metazoa; Arthropoda; Insecta; Diptera; Culicidae. The record is from RefSeq and is a predicted model, not a curated record.
AUACAGCGUUCGAGGCGAUCGAGAUGAAACGAGAUCGCUGCUUCGUGUGGCAACAUACACAUUACUUUUCCUCGCGAAAUCAUCUGGUAAGUGUAAUCAUUCUGAUGACAAAUCAUUUUCUUUCAAGUGGUUAAGGGCGGCAUGCAUCAAUCUUUCUAUUUCUUGACUGUGAAUUAACUACUGACACGAACCGAUAAUAUAUUUAUCAUGAUAUAAUGAUUUCGUUAAUUCUGCAAUAUUGAUCAAUACAAAAUCAAUAUUCAGUUACACGUCCCUUCACUACAAAUGGUACAUUCGGCUAUUUACAAUUGUGUGUGUAUCUACCGGUGCACUCGUCGAUCAAAUGCCACGCGCCAUGGUUUUUCACUUUUAUCAUUCGCUUCGCACGCGCACCGUACAUCUUCGAGCAUUUUUGGAAGUUUUCCAUUUUGUUUUUUGUUUGACAAAUACGUAUUUCGACCUCAACACCGAUCUUCGUUGUGAUGAACCAGGGCAAGGGAAGCAAAACCCUUGGGACGAUACUUAAGAUCCAGAAAACCCGGAAGUGGGUAAACCCGAAACGGUGGUAAAGCUGCUGAACCUGGGAUCGGUCGUUUUGUUCAGUAGGAACAAAAGAACCGACCAUUGCGUGCCCGUGCAAAUCUAUGGCAGAAGAACCGGUUCGAUGGUACUUUUCGACGACAGAGCUCUGCCGAUCCAUGAUAGACGGACACUUUGUUUUGACAGAAUGUCUCUUUCGGAAACGAGUAAACAGAGCAAUCACAAGCCCUCCUUUUCCGUGCACCAACCGUGCCCCACUAGGAAUCACAAUUCGUUUGAUUGGCCUGAUUUCAUCGAGGAUAACGAUCGAUCACCAUGACUACAAAGCAGUCGGAUCUGCGGCCACUCUAUCCCAGCAGAUCCACGUAUAUUUCUCGGAAUAGCCUUGUCCUUAAAGCGGGCAAUUCAUAAAAUGUUUAUGUAGUAUAAAUUACGAUUAUAAAACAUAAAAAUAUGUGUAUUUAAAUUUCAGAAA